Methanosarcina acetivorans is the source of this 78-nucleotide non-coding RNA. Lineage: Archaea; Methanobacteriati; Methanobacteriota; Methanomicrobia; Methanosarcinales; Methanosarcinaceae. The record is from Rfam.
UCGAGCCGGAUGAUGGGAAACUAUCAAGUCCGGUUCCUAGAAGACGGGGUAGGGAGUAAUCCCACCCUGUUAUUCGAC